Transfer RNA from Yarrowia lipolytica, 81 nucleotides. It matches the Rfam family "tRNA". From Rfam's summary of the family: Transfer RNA (tRNA) molecules are approximately 80 nucleotides in length. Their secondary structure includes four short double-helical elements and three loops (D, anti-codon, and T loops). NCBI's taxonomy places the organism in Eukaryota, Fungi, Ascomycota, Dipodascomycetes, Dipodascales. The record is from Rfam.
UCCGAUAUAGUGUAGGGGCUAUCACAUCACGCUCUCAUUCCGAGAACCGUGGAGACCGGGGUUCGAUUCCCCGUAUCGGAG